AACGCGAAGAACCUUACCUGGGCUUGACAUGCUUGGAUUAUCCCCGUGAAAGCGGGGUAGGCCCUUCGGGGUACAACAAGUACAGGUGUUGCAUGGCUGUCGUCAGCUCGUGUCGUGAGAUGUCGGGUUAAGUCCCUUAACGAGCGAAACCUUUGCCCUUAGUUACCAUCGAGUAAAGUCGGGGACUCUAAGGGGACUGCCGGUGUCAAACCGGAGGAAGGUGGAGAUGACGUCAAGUCCUCAUGGCCUUUAUGCCCAGGGCCACACACGUGCUACAAUGGGGUGCACAAAGCGAACCGAAACCGCAAGGUUGUGGAAAUCGCAAAAAUCAUCCCCCAGUUCAGAUCGGAGGCUGCAACUCGCCUCCGUGAAGUUGGAAUCGCUAGUAAUCGCGGAUCAGCUACGCCGCGGUGAAUGUGUUCCCGGGCCUUGUACACACCGGCUAC
This 446-nucleotide ribosomal RNA is filed under the name uncultured bacterium. RNAcentral's name for it is "bacterial SSU rRNA". It matches the Rfam family "Bacterial small subunit ribosomal RNA", at positions 958 to 1397 of the family's 1533-position model. The record is from RNAcentral.